RNAcentral lists this ribosomal RNA (465 nucleotides) under Vreelandella stevensii. RNAcentral describes it as "partial 16S ribosomal RNA". It matches the Rfam family "Bacterial small subunit ribosomal RNA", at positions 338 to 795 of the family's 1533-position model. The record is from RNAcentral. Lineage: Bacteria; Pseudomonadati; Pseudomonadota; Gammaproteobacteria; Oceanospirillales; Halomonadaceae.
CCUACGGGCGGCAGCAGUGGGGAAUAUUGGACAAUGGGGGCAACCCUGAUCCAGCCAUGCCGCGUGUGUGAAGAAGGCCCUCGGGUUGUAAAGCACUUUCAGUGAGGAAGAACGCCUGGUGGUUAAUACCCAUCAGGAAAGACAUCACUCACGGAAGAAGCACCGGCUAACUCCGUGCCAGCAGCCGCGGUAAUACGGAGGGUGCGAGCGUUAAUCGGAAUUACUGGGCGUAAAGCGCGCGUAGGUGGCUUGAUAAGCCGGUUGUGAAAGCCCCGGGCUCAACCUGGGAACGGCCUCCGGAACUGUCAAGCUAGAGUGCAGGAGAGGAAGGUAGAAUUCCCGGUGUAGCGGUGAAAUGCGUAGAGAUCGGGAGGAAUACCAGUGGCGAAGGCGGCCUUCUGGACUGACACUGACACUGAGGUGCGAAAGCGUGGGUAGCAAACAGGAUUAGAUACCCCUGUAGUC